GAUCCUGCUCAGGAUGAACGCUGGCGGCGUGCUUAACACAUGCAAGUCGAGCGAAGCACUUAGGAAAGAUUCUUCGGAUGAUUUCCUAAGUGACUGAGCGGCGGACGGGUGAGUAACGCGUGGGUAACCUGCCUCAUACAGGGGGAUAACAGUUAGAAAUGACUGCUAAUACCGCAUAAGGCCACAGCACCGCAUGGUGCAGGGGUAAAAACUCCGGUGGUAUGAGAUGGACCC
Molecule: ribosomal RNA, 234 nt
Filed under: uncultured bacterium
Lineage: Bacteria
Description: partial 16S ribosomal RNA
Rfam family: Bacterial small subunit ribosomal RNA
Source: RNAcentral